RNAcentral lists this ribosomal RNA (512 nucleotides) under uncultured bacterium. RNAcentral's name for it is "partial 16S ribosomal RNA". It matches the Rfam family "Bacterial small subunit ribosomal RNA", at positions 28 to 507 of the family's 1533-position model. The record is from RNAcentral.
GAUGAACGCUGGCGGCGUGCCUAAUACAUGCAAGUCGAACGAAACUUCUUUAUCACCGAGUGCUUGCACUCACCGAUAAAGAGUUGAGUGGCGAACGGGUGAGUAACACGUGGGCAACCUGCCCAAAAGAGGGGGAUAACACUUGGAAACAGGUGCUAAUACCGCAUAACCAUAGUUACCGCAUGGUAACUAUGUAAAAGGUGGCUAUACUACCGCUUUUGGAUAGGCCCGCGGCGCAUUAGCUAGUUGGUAGGGUAAAGGCUUACCAAGGCAAUGAUGCGUAGCCGAAUUGAGAGGUUGAUCGGCCACAUUGGGACUGAGACACGGCCCAAACUCCUACGGGAGGCAGCAGUAGGGAAUCUUCCACAAUGGGCGAAAGCCUGAUGGAGCAACGCCGCGUGGGUGAAGAAGGUCUUCGGAUCGUAAAACCCUGUUGUUAGAGAAGAAAGUGCGUGAGAGUAACUGUUCACGUUUCGACGGUAUCUAACCAGAAAGCCACUGCUAACUACGUG